UGCGCUUGUUCUACAUUAGUUUUACUGGGUCCUGGACAUGCUUAACAUGCUUAUUUUGUGGACUGUGUAAGAAACAUUUUUAUUGUUUUUGGUUUUAUUAAGGGGUUCAAUGGGGUUAUUUUUUCAUUUCAUUUCAUUUUCAUAAAUAUCGAAUAGGAUAGCAAGGAUAGCAUAAAGAAACAUUUAAAAUCCAAAAAGUCGAGGGCGAAAGCCACUGUGACACCAUUGUUAUGCUCUAUCAGUAAUCUGUAUUAUGUAAAACUGGUCUGUAAAUACAGCAUGUUUCCUAGCGGAGUUAUACAUAUCAGCAUAGUUAUAAAUUACAGUUUGUUAAAUCACACACUUAAUUGUUUAAAUAAAAUUAUUCACAACAUGUGAGUGGACAGACAAUGGAGGCCUACAGACCUGGUGAUAAUUGCUUCUAUAGAAAGUUAGCACAUGGCAGUGUCAAUCUCUUGCUUUUCUUCUGAGUAGUAUUUUAUUUAGUUGUAAUUCAAUCAGUAAUUUGCUUCUUGAAAUUAAGUAAUGAAUUUCUUGUUUUACUUUAUAAAUUUCAGAUCCUGCCUUUACCUGCUCCCUCCUAUACUGAUGUGGUGUAUGUGGUACUGCUGAGCUUGUAUGUGGUAUGUGAACUGUUAUACUUUUAAAAACAAAACUGUUUUAUAAGUUAAUUUUUCUUUAGUGACCCAUUCAAUGCCCCUGUUAUUUCUUCUCCAGAUCUGAACCAUUGUAAAGGUUGCAGUUCAAGGGCCUGAGGUGGAAGCAGAAUUUGUGAUGAUUACUACUGCUCCACUUGUUCCAAGGCUUUUUGCACAACUUGACCAAUACACUGACCAGCUCAUAAAAGUCUUCAAGAAAAAAGGAGGCGCUGCAGUGAAGAAAAUUAGACAAAUUUUGGCCCCAGCCACAAAGAAGGAAACUAUUGAAAAGGGGAGGGAGUGUGUCCUCAGGGCACUACCUUUCUACCUGAAUGAAGACCCAAGCAUCCUCUUCAAAGAAUAAUUGCUACAGCUACAGCUGUUCAGAGGGAGCUGGAACAAAUCACCCUUGCUAUCUUCACCAUCGAAAAAGCUGAUGUCAGCACUCCUCCAGCCGAUGUGGGUAUAACCAUCUAGGGUGUUCUGCAUGUCCUGGAAGACAUGGCCUCUGCAUGUGCACUCUUAAUGGGUGGGAUAUAUGCACUGAAUCUCAGUUAACCUCGAGACUGAAAGCUUUCUUUGAAGUACUUCAGAAGCUCUUCCUUCAUCUGUAUGUCAGCAGACUCUUGACCAAGGUACAGAUGCUCAAGAAUAAACUGAAUAAAUAAGCCAACCCUUAAUUUGGAUGAUGUUCUGUCAGAUGGACAGAAGUUUUUCGGUGGCUGAAUGGGAAUAAAAUGGUAAUUUGUUGUAAAUGACAGAUAAAGGGAAAAACUACAUUUAAGAGAAAUUUAAUUUUGAAAAGUUUGUAAAGUACUACAAUUUGAGAGAUUAUACUCUUGUGGGGGGGCUAGUAAGAGACAAUCAAAAGUAUUGAGAUUUAAAGGAUUUAAUUGAGAGAUGAUACUGCACCAGAAAUGUUGAAGGGUGGUGUGUAUAUUAGCGUUCAAGGCAUAUUGUUAUGAAGUGGAAAUAUGUUCAUAUUCUGUUUAUGCUACAUUGUGUGCAUUGUAAAGGUAAUUGCAAUACAUACUAAGAAUAAGGGUAAGUUAGCAAUGCAAGUUUUUUGCCCAAACACUGGUAAAAUAAACGUUAACAGUGGAAAGUGUUAAAUGGUUACUGUUGUGCUGUUGCAAAAAAACUGAAAGCUGACAAGCUGUUUUAUUGUUAGACCAUAAUGCUGGCAUGUUUUAUUAAAGUUUUAUUUGGGAUGGUGAUAUAAUUUUCUUUGAUUGCUAAUAUCAGUGGCCUAUUUAUUAUUAUCAUUAUUAUUAUUAUUAUUAUUACAUUAAUUUUUUAAAAUUGUGGCUGUUGAGGUGGACACUUCACUUUGCAUUGUUAAAGGAAAGCACUUUAUUGGCGUUGUGUUACUGGACUGACCCUAAGCAAUCAUUGCAAAUAGCAACUUUGCUAUCCAUUUUAGACACUAAAAGAAAAAACACUCCACAGACCUUACUAGCAUCACAUAUGCGUAACUCAAGUGUCCUCUUAUCAACAUGUUAUGUGGUCUUCAAUGUUUUUUUUCUUCUAUUUCUGGCAGAUACAGACAUUUAAUUUAAAGUCUUGAUGUUGCAUCUGUCUA
This is a long non-coding RNA of Oreochromis aureus, 2220 nucleotides long. RefSeq lists it as uncharacterized. NCBI's taxonomy places the organism in Eukaryota, Metazoa, Chordata, Actinopteri, Cichliformes, Cichlidae. The transcript has 4 exons. The record is from RefSeq and is a predicted model, not a curated record.